CCUACGGGGGGCAGCAGUAGGGAAUAUUGCGCAAUGGAGGAAACUCUGACGCAGCGACGCCGCGUGGGUGAUGAAGGAUUUCGGUUCGUAAAGCCCUUUUGUCAGGAAAAAUGUACCUGAAGAAUAAGCACCGGCUAACUUCGUGCCAGCAGCCGCGGUAAUACGAAGGGUGCAAGCGUUGCUCGGAAUUAUUGGGCGUAAAGCGAGCGCGGGUGGUCUCUUAAGUCAGAAGUGAAAGCCCUGGGCUCAACCCAGGAAGUGCUUUUGAUACUGGGAGACUUGAAUGUGGGAGAGGGUGCUAGAAUACCUAGUGUAGUGGUGAAAUACGUAGAUAUUAGGUGGAACACCGGUGGGGAAGCCGGGUACCUGGCCCAAAUGACACUUAGGCUCGAAAGCGUGGGGAUCAAACAGGAUUAGAUACCCUUGUAGUC
This 431-nucleotide ribosomal RNA is filed under the name uncultured bacterium. Its description in RNAcentral is "partial 16S ribosomal RNA". It matches the Rfam family "Bacterial small subunit ribosomal RNA", at positions 338 to 795 of the family's 1533-position model. The record is from RNAcentral.